RNAcentral lists this unclassified non-coding RNA (169 nucleotides) under soil metagenome. Its description in RNAcentral is "partial contains 5.8S ribosomal RNA, internal transcribed spacer 2, and large subunit ribosomal RNA". The record is from RNAcentral.
AAGACUAUAGACCUGCGGAGUACCUGCGGAGGGAUCAUUAGUGAACGCCCUCACGGGCUUAUAACUAUUCCAAACCUCUGUGAACCGUGCCCUUCGGGGCUAUUUUACAAACAUGGUGUAAUGAACGUCAUAUAUCAUAGCAAAACAAAACUUUCAACAAUGGAUCUCU